UAUAUUUUAUGAUCUAAGAAGACACAUUAAACCAUAUGACUUGAUAUUGUUGAAGUUAUCUAACUCUUUUGAAAGGUAAGAAAACAUAUCUUAAAGUUACUUAACAAGUUUACAAAAACUAACUAGAAGACUUGCACGAAAAUCUUUUCGAAUUAGCUAGAAACAUUAAUAAACAUGAAUGUUGGUAACCCAAUAAUUAAAACUAAUUAAGUUAUGAAUUUUAUUCAGAAGCCCCAAUAUCGACUAAUAUACAUGAAUUAACAAAAAAAA
RNAcentral lists this long non-coding RNA (270 nucleotides) under Brassica napus (rape). Its description in RNAcentral is "long non-coding RNA (BNAP_LNC017652)". Lineage: Eukaryota; Viridiplantae; Streptophyta; Magnoliopsida; Brassicales; Brassicaceae. The record is from RNAcentral.